AAGUCGUAACAAGGUUUCCGUAGGUGAACCUGCGGAAGGAUCAUUAUUGAAUAAAUCUGACGUGGUUGUCGCUGGCUCCCCCGGGAGCAUGUGCACGCCCGUCACCUUUAUUUCUCCACCUGUGCACACACUGUAGGCCUGGAUACCUCUCGUCGCAAGGCGGAUGCGUGGCUUGCUGUCGCUUUCGAAAGAAGGCCGGCUUGCCAUAAAUUUCCAGGUCUAUGAUUUCUUACACACCCCAAACUGAAUGUUAUGGAAUGUCAUCUCAAGGCCUUGUGCCUAUAAACCUAUACAACUUUCAGCAACGGAUCUCUUGACUCUC
RNAcentral lists this unclassified non-coding RNA (322 nucleotides) under Coprinopsis calospora. RNAcentral's name for it is "partial internal transcribed spacer region". The stretch from base 1 to 46 matches the Rfam family "Eukaryotic small subunit ribosomal RNA", at positions 1786 to 1831 of the family's 1831-position model. The record is from RNAcentral. Lineage: Eukaryota; Fungi; Basidiomycota; Agaricomycetes; Agaricales; Psathyrellaceae.